Long non-coding RNA from Peromyscus californicus insignis, 1246 nucleotides. RefSeq lists it as uncharacterized. The record is from RefSeq and is a predicted model, not a curated record. Lineage: Eukaryota; Metazoa; Chordata; Mammalia; Rodentia; Cricetidae. The transcript is spliced from 2 exons.
GUGCCGGAAGAGGAAGUCUCUGCAAGCCCCGAAGGAGACAGACGCGAUGGGACUCCCGGGGGCCAGCUCUCGUUCAUCAUCCCUGUGCUCGCCGAUGUGGUCGCUGCCAUCUUUGUACCUGUCGUGGGAAAACAAUCCCAAUGCCGAAGAAACCCUCUCCUUCCCCUGCGGAUGCUGCAGGAGCCUCAUCCUCUUGUAGCCCAAAGCAGCGUACUGCUUCUGCACACCCCUAGCCUGGGAGGCCAGGGAGCCCAGCCUGGAUGUCUUCGCCAAGUGCGGUGGUUUGAAUGAGAGAGGCCCCCAGAGGCCCAUAGGUCUGCAUGCUUGGCUCCCAGUCAGUGGAACUCUGGGGCCGAUCAGGAGGUGUGGCCUUGUCGGCGGAGGUGUGUCCUCGUGGUUGGGCUUUGAAGUUUCAAAAGCUCACACCAGGCCGGGCGGUGGUGGCGCACGCCUUUAAUCCCAGCACUCGGGAGGCAGAGCCAGGCGGAUCUCUGUGAGUUCGAGGCCAGCCUGGUCUCCAAAGCGAGUUCCAGGAAAGGCGCAAAGCUACACAGAGAAACCCUGUCUCGAAAAACCAAAAAAAAAAAAAAAAAAAAAAAAAAAAUCAAAAGCUCACACCAAGCCCAGUGUCUGUCCCUCUCUGCCUGCUGCCUGCAGAUCAGAUCGUCAAGCUCCGGGCUACUGCUCCAGUGCCACACCUGUCUGCUGCCCACCAUGAUGAGCAUGGACUAACUCUCUAAAACAGUGAGCAAGCCUCAAGGAGAUGCUUUCUUUAAUAGGGUUGCUUUGGGCAUGGUGUCUCCUCACAGCAACAGGACACUGACUAGGACACUUAGUUACUUGUGAUGCCUGCAGACCUCACACAUCACAUCAACUAGCCACGCCUUCCAGUCACCGGGUUCACGCAUGGAAAGCCUGCCCUGUUCCUCCUGCACACACACCAACCGUCACCCUGUGCAGUCCAGCCCCGCUCUUCAUACUCUUCUCUCCCCGGUUCCUGAUCCCCAGCCGCACCAAAGGGAUGUCCACUCCAUGGACACCAUGCGCUCCCUCGGCUCAACUCCAGACAUUGGUGUCUCCAGCUCUAGAUUCGCUCUCGAACACGCUCUAGAACUGGAAUCCAGGGCUUCGGUGUCAGCGUGAGACCGGAAAACGUGUAUGUCAGCCCAGCGUCUCCGUAGGUCGCCUGCUUCCUGGGAACGCUGUGCCACUUUCCAAACACCUGGACCUUGGCCAGAGCACCUGU